RNAcentral lists this ribosomal RNA (252 nucleotides) under uncultured prokaryote. RNAcentral describes it as "partial 16S ribosomal RNA". It matches the Rfam family "Archaeal small subunit ribosomal RNA", at positions 475 to 728 of the family's 1478-position model. The record is from RNAcentral.
CCCGGCGCCACGAGUGGCAAUCUUAUAUUGGGCCUAAAGCAUUCGUAGCCGGAUUAAUAAAUCUCUUGUGAAAUUGUCGAACUCAAUACGACAGCGUGCAGGGGACACUAUUAGUCUAGAGACUGGGAGGAGUUGGGAGUAUGCCUAGGGGAGCGGUUAAAUGUGGUAAUCCUAGGUAGACUACCUGUGGCGAAGGCGCCCAACUAGAACAGUUCUGACGGUGAGGGAUGAAAGCUAGGGGAGCGAUCCGGA